AGUAACACGUGGGCAAUCUGCCCUUCACUCUGGGACAAGCCCUGGAAACGGGGUCUAAUACCGGAUAACACUCUGUCCCGCAUGGGACGGGGUUAAAAGCUCCGGCGGUGAAGGAUGAGCCCGCGGCCUAUCAGCUUGUUGGUGGGGUAAUGGCCUACCAAGGCGACGACGGGUAGCCGGCCUGAGAGGGCGACCGGCCACACUGGGACUGAGACACGGCCCAGACUCCUACGGGAGGCAGCAGUGGGGAAUAUUGCACAAUGGGCGAAAGCCUGAUGCAGCGACGCCGCGUGAGGGAUGACGGCCUUCGGGUUGUAAACCUCUUUCAGCAGGGAAGAAGCGAAAGUGACGGUACCUGCAGAAGAAGCGCCGGCUAACUACGUGCCAGCAGCCGCGGUAAUACGUAGGGCGCAAGCGUUGUCCGGAAUUAUUGGGCGUAAAGAGCUCGUAGGCGGCUUGUCACGUCGGAUGUGAAAGCCCGGGGCUUAACCCCGGGUCUGCAUUCGAUACGGGCUAGCUAGAGUGUGGUAGGGGAGAUCGGAAUUCCUGGUGUAGCGGUGAAAUGCGCAGAUAUCAGGAGGAACACCGGUGGCGAAGGCGGAUCUCU
RNAcentral lists this ribosomal RNA (607 nucleotides) under Streptomyces sp. SCC111. RNAcentral describes it as "bacterial SSU rRNA". It matches the Rfam family "Bacterial small subunit ribosomal RNA", at positions 109 to 730 of the family's 1533-position model. The record is from RNAcentral. Lineage: Bacteria; Bacillati; Actinomycetota; Actinomycetes; Kitasatosporales; Streptomycetaceae.